GUAGGCUACGGCGACAUGACGCCGAAAACCUUCCCCGGGAUGUUCAUCGGCGGACUGUGCGCCCUCGCGGGUGUCCUUACUAUCGCUCUUCCGGUUCCGGUCAUUGUCAGCAAC
Molecule: regulatory RNA element, 114 nt
Organism: Lasius niger
Lineage: Eukaryota; Metazoa; Arthropoda; Insecta; Hymenoptera; Formicidae
Rfam family: Potassium channel RNA editing signal
About the family: This family represents a group of sequences related to the human potassium channel Kv1.1 hairpin element which directs the efficient modification of an adenosine to inosine by an adenosine deaminase acting on RNA (ADAR). The ADAR modification causes an isoleucine/valine recoding event which lies in the ion-conducting pore of the potassium channel.
Source: Rfam